Long non-coding RNA from Capsicum annuum, 1946 nucleotides. RefSeq lists it as uncharacterized. The record is from RefSeq and is a predicted model, not a curated record. The transcript has 11 exons. Lineage: Eukaryota; Viridiplantae; Streptophyta; Magnoliopsida; Solanales; Solanaceae.
AAUAAAUUAAACAAAUAAUACUGGGGUCAACAAAGAAAAGUUUCAAUGACUGCAUUUCAAAGGACUGCUCCAAAUCGGAUACUUUGGGUCUUCGAUCUUCACAUCAGUGCACCAAAUUCACAAAUCAGGGCUCCGAAGUGCUCCACUACAUCUCAAAAUUAACAAAAACUUUGCACCAGGGCCGACUGCAUCUCAAAUCGGUGCUCCGAUCAACUGUUCUGAUCGACUACUCCUACUAUCGCCCCGACCACAGUGCUCCGAUCGACUACUACUCCGACUAUGAGUGCUCCGACUUCUUUAUAUUGAACCCUAGCCGUCUAUUGAAACAGGUUAGCUCCCAAGGAUCGUGCAUAAAGAUGAUGCCUGCAGGUGGUGGAUUGUGUUGGCAGUCAUACAAUGAAGAAACACCAACUGCUGGUGACAGACACUUACGGCUAACGGACUAUGGGAACAGAAAAACGUCACCAGAGAUUCAUCAGACUAUCUGUGGUACAUGACAGAUGUAAAUAUAUUAUCAAAUGAAGGAUUUCUAAAGAACGGAAAGGACCCUUAUCUCACUGUUAUGUCGGCUGGUCAUGUCUUGCAUGUUUUCGUCAAUGGAAAACUAGCAGGAACUGUAUAUGGGGCAUUGGAUAAUCCAAAACUUACACACAGUGGCAAUGUGAAGCUACAAAACUUACACACAGUGGCAAUGUGAAGCUAAGAGCUGGUAUAAACAAGAUUUCUCUUCUCAGUGUUUCCGUUGGUCUCCCGAACGUUGGCGUACAUUAUGAUACGUGGAAUGUAGGAGUUCUGGGUCCAGUCACGUUGAGCGGUCUCAAUGAGGGGUCAAGAGACUUGGCAAAACAAAAAUGGUCCUACAAGGUUGGUCUAAAAGGAGAUUCGCUAAGUCUUCACACCUUAAGUGGCAGUUCUUCUGUUGAAUGGGUUCAAGGUUCACUUGUGGCUCAAAAACAUCCCCUGACUUGGUACAAGGCAACAUUUAACUCGCCUGGACGAUUCAACGAGAAGAAAUGUCAGACUAACUGUGGACAGCCUUCUCAAAGAUGGUAAUCGAUAUCCAUAAUUCGUACAACACUUAGUGAAGUUAGUACUAGAUCAACUUUUCAUGGAGAAUUUUACACGACAACUCAAUCCGAUGUUCCAUACUCAAGACUUCGCGAAACUGGUAAUGUCAAGCAUCAUGUCCCGCGAUCGUGGCUGAAACCAAGUGGAAACCUGUUGGUAGUAUUUGAAGAAUGGGGUGGUGAUCCAAUAGGAAUUUCUUUAGUAAGAAGAUCAAGAUAAAGAGCUUGAAAAGGUUCAAGUGUGUUAUGUUGAAUGUUCUUCUCUGUCUUUUGCUCAAACUGCUGACUUCUUGGAGGUAUGCAAUUGUUCAGGACAUGACUGUUGCUGGUCUUGGUCUGAAUAAAUUCUGUUAUGCUAGGCUUAUAGCGGCUCACAAGAAUAAGGAACCUGUCACGGAUGAUAUAGCUUCCGAGAUUAUUGAGCUAGUUGAGCAAUCCAACGGUUGGUCAGCAGUUGAAGCACUUAGUGACAUUCCUGUAAGAUCCAUGAUUGGUGUGACUGAAGAAGAACUUUACAAUCUCCCAAUUACUGAGUAUAUUUUUCGGCUUGGUGGAUUUUUAAAUAGGGAAGUGAUAGUUUAUCAUGUUGCAUUUCAUGCCUGUGCUGACCUAAAAAAUGUGGAGGUGUCCAAAAUCAUGAAGGAGAUGAAGAAAGAAGUGAUGAAGAAAUUGACAACAUUUUUGAAUUGUUGAUAGAGGCUUUAAUAUCGAUCUUUUUGAUUUUGAAUUUUGUGAAACUUAUCGCCACUUGAAUUUGAUACUAUGUGGGAAAACUAAGGAUCAUUUGACUUCAACAUUUUUCUUUUGGGUUUAGAUUACUAGUUUGUUGUAUAUUUUAAUUUGGAUUAUUAUUAAUGAAAGAUUUUGUUGUGGUGUGUA